RNAcentral lists this non-coding RNA (21 nucleotides) under Arabidopsis thaliana (thale cress). The record is from RNAcentral. Lineage: Eukaryota; Viridiplantae; Streptophyta; Magnoliopsida; Brassicales; Brassicaceae.
UUAAAUUCUGCUGCCACUUUC